UCAAUAGCCUGACGGCUGAACCAGCAACUUGGAAGAAUGUAUAACGGAUUAAUCGUAUAAAAUUCUAGAUAGAAAACUGAUACUGACUACUAUCUAUCUAUUAGUCUUGACCAAAUUACGUGCCAGCAGUCGCGGCAAUACGCAGAAGACAAGUGUUAUUCAUCUUUAUUCGGUUUAAAGGGUACCUAGACGGUAAAUCAAGCCUUAGCAGGGACUAAUUUUCUAGAGUUUUAUGGGAGAAAGUGGAAUGUCUGGAGGAGAGAUAAAAUAUUGUUAUACUAGACGGACAGACAACGGUGUAGGCAACUUUCUAUGUAAAAACUGACGUUGAGGGACGAAGCCCUGGGUAGCAAGAAGGAUUAGAUACCCCAGUAGUCCAGGGAGACAAUGAUGAGUGCCAUAGGCUAGAUAAAUUAGUUUAUAAAUGAAAGUGCAAGCAUUCCACCUUGAGACUAAAGCGGCAACGCCCAAAUUGAAAUCAUUAGACCGUUCCUGAAACCAGUAGUGAAGUAUGUUAUUUAAUUCGAUGAUCCGCGAAUAACCUUACCACGUUUUGAAUACUUUUUGUAAAAGCAGGUCUGCUUUUAUCACCACAAAUUGUACAAGCGCUGCACGGCUGUCUUUAGUUAAUGUCGUGAGACUUUGGUUAACCCCUUUAAUUAACGAAAACCCUUGUUUUAUUUGUUUAUUUAAAACAGUUCUCCGCUAUAUAGGAUAAGAUAACAGGGAUUAAGGCAAGUCAUCAUGGCCUUGAUAGCGUGGGCUAUAGACGUGCCAUAUAUGCCUUUACAAAAGGAUGCGAUAUUGUGAAAUGGAGCU
Molecule: ribosomal RNA, 819 nt
Filed under: Dermatocarpon meiophyllizum
Lineage: Eukaryota; Fungi; Ascomycota; Eurotiomycetes; Verrucariales; Verrucariaceae
Description: SSU rRNA
Rfam family: Bacterial small subunit ribosomal RNA
Source: RNAcentral